Molecule: non-coding RNA, 207 nt
Rfam family: T-box leader
About the family: Uncharged tRNA acts as the effector for transcription antitermination of genes in the T-box leader family. T-boxes are found upstream of many aminoacyl-tRNA synthetase genes and some amino acid biosynthetic genes usually in Gram-positive bacteria.
GUAUCGUCUAUGCGAAAGAGAGUAAUGUUUGUAACAGAAUGAAGCGAUUCGGGGAUGGUGGGAGCCCGGCAACUGAGCAAACAUGAACCGGACUUUCAAGACACUGUUCUGAAUGAAGUAGGAUCAGUCGGACUCGCCGUUAUCGAGUAAAGCUGGCUCGUUAGCGAGCAACCAGAGUGGUACCGCGGGUUAAUCUCCGUCUCUUAU